Long non-coding RNA from Culex quinquefasciatus (southern house mosquito), 173 nucleotides. RefSeq lists it as uncharacterized. The transcript is spliced from 3 exons. Lineage: Eukaryota; Metazoa; Arthropoda; Insecta; Diptera; Culicidae. The record is from RefSeq and is a predicted model, not a curated record.
UUUUGAUUCGCGGUGUUUCGGCAAGCGCUUAGCGCAGGCAAAAACAGUCUGAAGUGAAACGUUUGUGCGGCUGGUCGUUGUUUACGUUUUGUGCGCAGCGCCGUGGAGAACUUGAUAAAAACGGAACAGCUGGUGCUGGAGAACUCGAUCGGUGAUCAAAAGAGAUUUUGCCG